AUGAACGCUGGCGGCGUGCCUAAUACAUGCAAGUCGAGCGAACAGAUGAGGAGCUUGCUCCUCUGACGUUAGCGGCGGGCGGGUGAGUAACACGUGGAUAACCUACCUAUAAGACUGGGAUAACUUCGGGAAACCGGAGCUAAUACCGGAUAAUAUAUUGAACCGCAUGGUUCAAUAGUGAAAGACGGUUUUGCUGUCACUUAUAGAUGGAUCCGCGCCGCAUUAGCUAGUUGGUAAGGUAACGGCUUACCAAGGCAACGAUGCGUAGCCGACCUGAGAGGGUGAUCGGCCACACUGGAACUGAGACACGGUCCAGACUCCUACGGGAGGCAGCAGUAGGGAAUCUUCCGCAAUGGGCGAAAGCCUGACGGAGCAACGCCGCGUGAGUGAUGAAGGUCUUCGGAUCGUAAAACUCUGUUAUUAGGGAAGAACAAAUGUGUAAGUAACUAUGCACGUCUUGACGGUACCUAAUCAGAAAGCCACGGCUAACUACGUG
This 496-nucleotide ribosomal RNA is filed under the name uncultured bacterium. Its description in RNAcentral is "partial 16S ribosomal RNA". It matches the Rfam family "Bacterial small subunit ribosomal RNA", at positions 29 to 507 of the family's 1533-position model. The record is from RNAcentral.